This 1223-nucleotide long non-coding RNA is filed under the name Solanum tuberosum (potato). RNAcentral's name for it is "long non-coding RNA (STUB_LNC006633)". Lineage: Eukaryota; Viridiplantae; Streptophyta; Magnoliopsida; Solanales; Solanaceae. The record is from RNAcentral.
CUUGGGCGUGUUUUAGUGGCUGUCAGGUACGUAGAUACGAUACAUAACAUUAUUGCCCGAAAAAUAUACUUCCCCAGUCAUUUUUAGUUCUACCGUUGCAAAUGAAUCUGGUAAUUUUAUACUCCCUCUGUCCCAAUUUAUAUGACUUACUUUCCUUUUUAGUCAGUCCCAAAAAGAAUGACACAUUUCUAUUUUAAGUAACAAUUUGCCUAUAAAAUGUCUUUUUUACCCUUAAUGAAAUGAUUUACAACCACACAAAUUUCUAUCAUUCAUUUUGGACCACAAGUUUUAAAAGUCUUUCCAUUUUUCUUAAAGUUUGUGCCAAAUCAAAGUACAUCAUAUAAAAUGGGACGGAGGGAGUAUUACAUUUAUUGAAACUCUCCUAUAGAUUCGUACUUUAUAAAAAUACUUUUGUUCUUGUUUACAAUUAUGACUUUGCUUGGUAUGAACUUUGGCCAUAUUGGAGCUGGUCUAAAACGCUCAUCAAUACAUACGAUUUUAUACGAGAUUCAAAUUCGAGAUUUCUAUAUUUAUCACUUUAUUACAACCUUUUUAAGUCAAAUAAACUAGAAUUUUGUUACCUUGAUAUUUUUUUCAAUACUUCUUUCCGUUAUUGAAUUUUGAAUAAAUUUGGUAGCAUUCUCAUCUACUUUUGGGGGUUUUGAGCUUGUGCUUGUUGGGCCCACGCCAAGCUGAUAAAAAGCCAAAGACUUGAUAAGGAUUAUAAGUGGGACGUGGAAGCCAUCUUAUUUGUAAUUUCCUAAUUAAAUAAGUAAGAAUUUUGCAUAAUGGCUUCGGUACACGUGAAAGGGAGGGGCAAAUUAGGAAACUACUUGAUUAAUUUUAUUUUUGCCAGCUUAAAAAUAAGCUGGCACGGCCAAGAUAUUUUAUGUGUUCCAUGCUAUGUGACGAUAAUCAAAGACGGACAUGAUAUAAUUAGGAUAUUUGUUUUAGCUUUUUUAGGAUUUGCAUAAUUGACGUGAAGUGAUAAGACUACCAAUUAUUUCUCAUUUGGUGUUCCGUAUUUAUUUUAGGAUCUGAUUAAUUUAAAUUCGUACUAGGAGAUUAAGUGCUUCUAACAAAGAUGACUUUAUAUUAUUGAGGGCUCGAGCUUGAAUCCUUCAAUUAAAAAUGAAGGACUUACCAUUGUAAAAAACUUCGAUUAAUUGGUGUAAAUGUGGAUAGUAAUUAUAUUAAAUUGUUGCAGCAUCAUUCUUUUUUAU